Molecule: ribosomal RNA, 476 nt
Filed under: Botrytis cinerea
Lineage: Eukaryota; Fungi; Ascomycota; Leotiomycetes; Helotiales; Sclerotiniaceae
Description: eukaryotic LSU rRNA
Rfam family: 5.8S ribosomal RNA (bases 118-271)
Source: RNAcentral
CACCCUUGUGUAUUAUUACUUUGUUGCUUUGGCGAGCUGCCUUCGGGCCUUGUAUGCUCGCCAGAGAAUACCAAAACUCUUUUUAUUAAUGUCGUCUGAGUACUAUAUAAUAGUUAAAACUUUCAACAACGGAUCUCUUGGUUCUGGCAUCGAUGAAGAACGCAGCGAAAUGCGAUAAGUAAUGUGAAUUGCAGAAUUCAGUGAAUCAUCGAAUCUUUGAACGCACAUUGCGCCCCUUGGUAUUCCGGGGGGCAUGCCUGUUCGAGCGUCAUUUCAACCCUCAAGCUUAGCUUGGUAUUGAGUCUAUGUCAGUAAUGGCAGGCUCUAAAAUCAGUGGCGGCGCCGCUGGGUCCUGAACGUAGUAAUAUCUCUCGUUACAGGUUCUCGGUGUGCUUCUGCCAAAACCCAAAUUUUUCUAUGGUUGACCUCGGAUCAGGUAGGGAUACCCGCUGAACUUAAGCAUAUCAAUAAGCGGA